CCUACGGGAGGCAGCAGUGGGGCAUAUUGCACAAUGGGGGAAACCCUGAUGCAGCGACGCCGCGUGAGUGAAGAAGUAUUUCGGUACGUAACGCUCUAUCAGCAGGGAAGAAAAUGACGGUACCUGACUAAGAAUCCCCGGCUAACUACGUCCCCGCAGCCGCGGUAAUACGUAGGGGGCAAGCGUUAUCCGGCUUUACUGGGUGUAAAGGGAGCGUAGACGGCAGCGCAAGUCUGGAGUGAAAUCCCAUGGCUUAACCAUGGAACUGCUUUGGAAACUGUGCAGCUAGAGUGCAGGAGAGGUAAGCGGAAUUCCUAGUGUAGCGGUGAAAUGCGUAGAUAUUAGGAGGAACACCAGUGGCGAAGGCGGCUUACUGGACUGUAACUGACGUUGAGGCUCGAAAGCGUGGGGAGCAAACAGGAUUAGAUACCCCUGUAGUC
Molecule: ribosomal RNA, 440 nt
Filed under: uncultured bacterium
Lineage: Bacteria
Description: partial 16S ribosomal RNA
Rfam family: Bacterial small subunit ribosomal RNA
Source: RNAcentral